AGCGAACGCUGGCGGCAGGCCUAACACAUGCCAGUCGAACGAACCUUUCGGGGUUAGUGGCGGACGGGUGAGUAACACGUGGGAACGUGCCUUUAGGUUCGGAAUAACUCAGGGAAACUUGUGCUAAUACCGAAUGUGCCCUUCGGGGGAAAGAUUAAUCGCCUUUAGAGCGGCCCGCGUCUGAUUAGCUAGUUGGUUGAGGUAAUGGCUCACCAAGGCGACGAUCAGUAGCUGGUCUGAGAGGAUGAUCAGCCACAUUGGGACUGAGACACGGCCCAAACUCCUACGGGAGGCAGCAGUGGGGAAUCUUGCGCAGUGGGCGAAAGCCUGACGCAGCCAUGCCGCGUGAAUGAUGAAGGUCUUAGGAUUGUAAAAUUCUUUCACCGGGGACGAUAAUGACGGUACCCGGAGAAGAAGCCCCGGCUAACUUCGUG
Molecule: ribosomal RNA, 434 nt
Filed under: uncultured bacterium
Lineage: Bacteria
Description: partial 16S ribosomal RNA
Rfam family: Bacterial small subunit ribosomal RNA
Source: RNAcentral